RNAcentral lists this ribosomal RNA (253 nucleotides) under uncultured bacterium. RNAcentral describes it as "partial 16S ribosomal RNA". It matches the Rfam family "Bacterial small subunit ribosomal RNA", at positions 524 to 776 of the family's 1533-position model. The record is from RNAcentral.
UACGUAGGGUGCAAGCGUUGUCCGGAAUUAUUGGGCGUAAAGAGCUCGUAGGCGGUUUGUCGCGUCUGCUGUGAAAUCCCGAGGCUCAACCUCGGGCUUGCAGUGGGUACGGGCAGACUAAAGUGCGGUAGGGGAGAUUGGAAUUCCUGGUGUAGCGGUGGAAUGCGCAGAUAUCAGGAGGAGCACCGAUGGCGAAGGCAGAUCUCUGGGCCGUAACUGACGCUGAGGAGCGAAAGCGUGGGGAGCGAACAGG